Non-coding RNA from Microcebus murinus (gray mouse lemur), 387 nucleotides. The record is from RefSeq and is a predicted model, not a curated record. Lineage: Eukaryota; Metazoa; Chordata; Mammalia; Primates; Cheirogaleidae.
AGGUUUGUUUCCCGGUCCUGUUUGCUGUAACAUAUCAACCACUGCUCAGAAAAUGCGGCUAUUUGCCUAAGAAAUUCUGAACUGAGAAACUGCUGGUUUGGGGAAAUUAUUUCACAUCUCAAUGUCCAAGAUGUUGACUGAGUUCUAAAGAAUCUAAAGAAAUUAACUCAUUACUCAAGAGAAUGAUGACCGGAGACCAACCAGAAAAAAAAAUCUAUGGACAGAGAAAAGAGCAGGAAUACAUCAGAAAGUAGAUGCAACCCGAGCCUAACACUCAGAUCUGAUACUUCCACCGGGAAAUCAUUCUACCAGAGAACACUGCUUAGGUGCUACCAACUUCAGCUGUGAGGUCAGCAAAACCCAAUCUUACUGAAGCUAGAAACCCUG